This 72-nucleotide transfer RNA is filed under the name Camelus bactrianus (Bactrian camel). It matches the Rfam family "tRNA". From Rfam's summary of the family: Transfer RNA (tRNA) molecules are approximately 80 nucleotides in length. Their secondary structure includes four short double-helical elements and three loops (D, anti-codon, and T loops). The record is from Rfam by way of RNAcentral. Lineage: Eukaryota; Metazoa; Chordata; Mammalia; Artiodactyla; Camelidae. RNAcentral also lists the same sequence under 2 other names.
AGGGGUAUAGCUCAUUGGUAGAUUGUGUGCUUAGCAUGCACAAGGUCCUGGGUUCAAUUUCCAGUACCUCCA